This 253-nucleotide ribosomal RNA is filed under the name uncultured bacterium. Its description in RNAcentral is "partial 16S ribosomal RNA". It matches the Rfam family "Bacterial small subunit ribosomal RNA", at positions 524 to 776 of the family's 1533-position model. The record is from RNAcentral.
UACGUAGGGGGCAAGCGUUGUCCGGAAUCAUUGGGCGUAAAGAGCGUGUAGGCGGCCCGAUAAGUCCGCUGUGAAAGUCCAGGGCUCAACUCUGGAAUGCCGGUGGAUACUGUCGGGCUCGAAUCCGGAAGAGGUGAGUGGAAUUCCUGGUGUAGCGGUGAAAUGCGCAGAUAUCAGGAGGAACACCAAUGGCGAAGGCAGCUCACUGGGACGGUAUUGACGCUGAGACGCGAAAGCGUGGGGAGCAAACAGG